AACGGGUGAGUAACACGUGGGCAACCUGCCCAAAAGAGGGGGAUAACACUUGGAAACAGGUGCUAAUACCGCAUAACCAUAGUUACCGCAUGGUAGCUAUGUAAAAGGUGGCUAUGCUACCGCUUUUGGAUGGGCCCGCGGCGCAUUAGCUAGUUGGUGGGGUAAAGGCUUACCAAGGCAAUGAUGCGUAGCCGAACUGAGAGGUUGAUCGGCCACAUUGGGACUGAGACACGGCCCAAACUCCUACGGGAGGCAGCAGUAGGGAAUCUUCCACAAUGGGCGAAAGCCUGAUGGAGCAACGCCGCGUGGGUGAAGAAGGUCUUCGGAUCGUAAAACCCUGUUGUUAGAGAAGAAAGUGCGUGAGAGUAACUGUUCACGUUUCGACGGUAUCUAACCAGAAAGCCACGGCUAACUACGUGCCAGCAGCCGCGGUAAUACGUGGGUGGCAAGCGUUAUCCGGAUUUAUUGGGCGUAAAGGGAACGCAGGCGGUCUUUUAAGUCUGAUGUGAAAGCCUUCGGCUUAACCGGAGUAGUGCAUUGGAAACUGGGAGACUUGAGUGCAGAAGAGGAGAGUGGAACUCCAUGUGUAGCGGUGAAAUGCGUAGAUAUAUGGAAGAACACCAGUGGCGAAAGCGGCUCUCUGGUCUGUAACUGACGCUGAGGUUCGAAAGCGUGGGUAGCAAACAGGAUUAGAUACCCUGGUAGUCCACGCCGUAAACGAUGAAUGCUAAGUGUUGGAGGGUUUCCGCCCUUCAGUGCUGCAGCUAACGCAAUAAGCAUUCCGCCUGGGGAGUACGACCGCAAGGUUGAAACUCAAAGGAAUUGACGGGGGCCCGCACAAGC
Molecule: ribosomal RNA, 843 nt
Filed under: uncultured bacterium
Lineage: Bacteria
Description: bacterial SSU rRNA
Rfam family: Bacterial small subunit ribosomal RNA
Source: RNAcentral